CGCCGAUGAUGAUCCCGCCAUGCUAAUACUGAUGCACCAGACUGACGGUGUGUCUCUCUGGGUGCAAGUGAGUUAGCCUCACUUUCUCAUACUGACUGGAUCAGUGUGUGCUGAGGAGA
This 119-nucleotide small nucleolar RNA is filed under the name Salmo salar (Atlantic salmon). The record is from RNAcentral. Lineage: Eukaryota; Metazoa; Chordata; Actinopteri; Salmoniformes; Salmonidae.